Molecule: long non-coding RNA, 435 nt
Filed under: Manihot esculenta (cassava)
Lineage: Eukaryota; Viridiplantae; Streptophyta; Magnoliopsida; Malpighiales; Euphorbiaceae
Description: long non-coding RNA (MESC_LNC000531)
Source: RNAcentral
UAAAGGGAAGUUGUAUAAAGUCAAGUAAGUUGAUGGAAGGUAAGGUAUGAAAACCUCUCAAACCAACAAUUUGGUGGGUUUAAAAAGUGAGGUUUUUGGAGCUUUUGACCUUACCUCUAAAACCUUCCUCCCAAAUAAGAGCAUUACUUGAGAGACCUCCUACUUUACAUCUAAAGCCUUCCUCCCUAACAUAGUGUUAGUAGUGUUGCUAAACUUACCUCGUACUGCUACUUAUUUGUGGAAUUUAUUUCAAAAAGAACUGAUGAUGACUAAUUUAUUUGUUUCUCUGUCCUGUUUACCCUGAUUUUGGUUGUGAUUCUUGAAAUUGCUGGACUUCAUGGUGUUUCUGCUUGAUCUUAAGUUCGUGUGUAUGGUUAAAAUAAUUGCUCCUUAAGUUUUUUUUUUCCUAGUCGAAGCAUGUUCCUUAAGUUUGAA